Molecule: ribosomal RNA, 383 nt
Filed under: uncultured bacterium
Lineage: Bacteria
Description: bacterial SSU rRNA
Rfam family: Bacterial small subunit ribosomal RNA
Source: RNAcentral
GACGAACGCUGGCGGCGUGCUUAACACAUGCAAGUCGAGCGGUAAGGCCCUUUCGGGGGUACACGAGCGGCGAACGGGUGAGUAACACGUGGGUGACCUGCCCUCAGCUCUGGGAUAAGCCUGGGAAACCGGGUCUAAUACUGGAUAUGACUCCAUGACGCAUGUUGUGGGGUGGAAAGCCUUGUGCGGCUGAGGAUGGGCCCGCGGCCUAUCAGCUUGUUGGUGGGGUGANGGCCUACCAAGGCGACGACGGGUAGCCGGCCUGAGAGGGCGACCGGCCACACUGGGACUGAGACACGGCCCAGACUCCUACGGGAGGCAGCAGUGGGGAAUAUUGGGCAAUGGGCGCAAGCCUGACCCAGCGACGCCGCGUGGGUGAUGAA